UCUGAGAGGAUGGCCCGCCGCACUGGGACUGAGACACUGCCCAGACUCCUACGGGAGGCUGCAGUCGAGGAUCAUUCGCAAUGCGCGAAAGCGUGACGAUGCGACGCUGCGUGGAGGAUGACGGCCCUAGGGUUGUAAACUCCUGUCAUGAGGGAGAAGCCGGCGACGGGUUAAUAACCCGCCGCCCCGAUAGUACCUCAAGAGGAAGCCACGGCUAACUCUGUGCCAGCAGCCGCGGUAAUACAGAGGUGGCUAGCGUUGUUCGGAUUUACUGGGCGUAAAGCGUGCGUAGGCGGUCGAGUAAGUCGGAUGUGAAAGCCCGGGGCCCAACCCCGGAAUUGCGUCCGAAACUGCCCGACUUGAGUGCAGGAUGGGAGAGGGGAAUUCAUGGAGUAGCGGUGAAAUGCGUUGAUAUCAUGAAGAACACCGGUGGCGAAGGCGCCUCUCUGGAAUGCAACUGACGCUGGAGCACGAAAGCAUGGGGAGCGAACAGGAUUAGAUACCCUGGUAGUCCAUGCCGUAAACGGUGCGCACUUGGUGUUGGAAGGGUCAGCCCUUUCAGUGCCGGAGCUAACGCGUUAAGUGCGCCGCCUGGGGAGUACGGCCGCAAGGCUAAAACUCAAAGAAAUUGACGGGGGCCCGCACAAGCGGAGGAGCAUGUGGCUUAAUUCGAUGCAACGCGAAGAACCUUACCCAGGCUUGACAUAUAACUGCAAGUCCUGUGAAAGCAGGAUUCCUUCGAGGGUGUUAUACAGGUGCUGCAUGGCUGUCGUCAGUUCGUGCCGUGAGGUGUUUGGUUAAGUCCAGCAACGAACGCAACCCCUGUGUCCAGUUGCCAUCAGGUAAUGCUGGGAACUCUGGACAGACUGCCUGUGCAAUCAGGAGGAAGGUGGGGACGACGUCAAGUCAGUAUGGCCCUUACGCCUGGGGCUGCACACGUGCUACAAUGGCCGGUACAGAAGGAUGCAACACCGCGAGGUUGAGCAAAUCCCCAAAGCCGGCCCCAGUUCGGAUUGAAGUCUGCAACUCGACUUCAUGAAGUUGGAUUCGCUAGUAACGGCGUAUCAGCUACGACGCCGUGAAUACGUUCCCGGGCCUUGUACACACCGCCCGUCACAUCAUGAAAGCCGUCUGCACCCGAAGUCGUUGACCCAACCCGCAAGGGAGGG
Molecule: ribosomal RNA, 1169 nt
Filed under: uncultured organism
Description: bacterial SSU rRNA
Rfam family: Bacterial small subunit ribosomal RNA
Source: RNAcentral